AACCUGGUUGAUCCUGCCAGUAGUCAUAUGCUUGUCUCAAAGAUUAAGCCAUGCAUGUCUAAGUAUAAGCACUUGUACUGUGAAACUGCGAAUGGCUCAUUAAAUCAGUUAUCGUUUAUUUGAUUGUACUUUACUACAUGGAUACCUGUGGUAAUUCUAGAGCUAAUACAUGCGAAAAAUCCCGACUUCUGGAAGGGAUGUAUUUAUUAGAUUAAAAACCAAUGCGGAUCUUCGGGUCCGUUUUCUUGGUGAUUCAUGAUAACUUUUCGAAUCGCAUGGCCUAGCGCCGGCGAUAUUUCAUUCAAAUUUCUGCCCUAUCAACUGUCGAUGGUAAGGUAGUGGCUUACCAUGGUUAUAACGGGUGACGGAGAAUUAGGGUUCGAUUCCGGAGAGGGAGCCUGAGAAACGGCUACCACAUCUAAGGAAGGCAGCAGGCUCGAAAAUUACCCAAUCCCAACUCGGGGAGGUAGUGACAAGAAAUAACGAUACGGGGUCUUAAUAGGUCUCGCAAUUGGAAUGAGUACAAUUUAAAUCCUUUAACGAGGAUCAAUUGGAGGGCAAGUCUGGUGCCAGCAGCCGCGGUAAUUCCAGCUCCAAUAGC
This 601-nucleotide ribosomal RNA is filed under the name uncultured marine eukaryote. RNAcentral describes it as "SSU rRNA". It matches the Rfam family "Eukaryotic small subunit ribosomal RNA", at positions 1 to 598 of the family's 1831-position model. The record is from RNAcentral.